Paramisgurnus dabryanus is the source of this 935-nucleotide long non-coding RNA. RefSeq lists it as uncharacterized. Lineage: Eukaryota; Metazoa; Chordata; Actinopteri; Cypriniformes; Cobitidae. The record is from RefSeq and is a predicted model, not a curated record.
ACACAUUUGAAACAUCCAAUGCAUCUUGGAACUCGUAGUCAAAUUUACAUCUACAGCAUGUAAGAACGCCAGGGCAAAAGACUUCAAUUCCCAGAAUGCACCUGCACCCACCCAUUCAUUCCCACCAAUCAGGAUCAACGGCAUUAUUUCAAACCGCUACUGACUCGGUCUUCGUUUUCAUGCUAAACAGUACGGCUGAGAGGUCAUGUACCAUGUGGUCGACCUUGCUGAUGCUGAAGAGGUUUCUGUGUUAAAAUGAUGACAUUGAGACAAACAGACCAGUUCCGGCUGCCGUGGAGGUCAACACACCACUGAUCUACUGGCUGCCCUUCAACGUGAUGCCCAGCCGAUGCCUGACCACCGACGGAACCCGCUAAAUCUCCUUAUCUGUUUACAUCCCAUAUAUAUAUGUGUAUAUCUUUUCCUCCUAGGACUUUUUGUUCAUCCCUGAGGUUUUUCUCCUAGGGGUUUUUUCAACCUCGGGGAGUCAACCAACAUUGGCUUAACUUAGCACCCUCUUUUAUACGAGACAUUAUUAAUUUACUCGCUUGUAAGUUUGCUCGCUUGUUCUAUGUUUCCCCUGCUUCUUUUAAUGUAAAGCUGCUUUGAAACAACUACAAAUUGUGAAAAGCGCUAUAUAAAUAAAAUUGAAAUUCAAAUGUCUCUUUCCUGUUUUACAGAUGCAGUGAGGGAGUGAUUUCCCAACAUCGAGGUGGCAGAGAUCCGGGACCUUCUACGGAGGAAGUGCAACAAUGCCAGUUACAAGGCCUCCAGUAGUUCAAAUCAGAGCUAGAUGUGCAUAUAGUACAAGUUGUUCGCAAUUGUUCUCUUCCCGGCAUUUCAAAGAAAGUCGACUGUUUAAGGUUCCCAUUUUGCCAAUAUCUGUUUUGUGUGUUACUUUUGUGUCAAUAAUAAAGAUCCUUUUUUGAAAUGCA